Molecule: long non-coding RNA, 2455 nt
Filed under: Canis lupus familiaris (dog)
Lineage: Eukaryota; Metazoa; Chordata; Mammalia; Carnivora; Canidae
Description: lncRNA (ENSCAFG00040021545.1)
Source: RNAcentral
CUGACUCCUGUCCCUUGGGGGAGGGACCCCAACUCCUGAUCCCUUGGUGGAGGGACCCCGAUUCCUGAUCCCUCGGGGGAGGGACCCCGACUCCUGUCCCUUGGUGGAGGGACCCCGCUUCCUGAUCGCUCGGGGGAGGGACCCCAAUUCCUGCUCCCUUGGGGGGGGGACCCGGGUUCCCGCUCCCUCGGAGAACAGCCCUCCUGAGAACACGGUGCCGAGGGAACGCGGCCGGCGCACACGGCCACCUACUGGUCCCAGGGUGGCCCCUGCAGCAGGUGUCCAGCGGACGCCAAGCGGCAGGGACAGGAGGCCGAGGAGCGGUCGGUCCCCGGGGGCAGGACGGGGUGCAGGGGGCAGUGAGCGCGCGGCGGCCGGGCCGUCUGUGCGGGGCGCUGCCGCGUGUGCAGCCGAGAGGGCCGACAUGUCGGGGGUGCACGUGGGGGCGCGCGAGCUCCUGCACGCUCGUGGGUGGCGCCCCAUGCCGUCCGCGCGGCGCAGAGCCAGCGACUUCCCGCCUUUUCUGGCGGGCGAGGGCCGGGCCAAUGAGGACGCGGUGACCUCAUCAGAUCUGCGUGUCACCGCGUGCGCAGCGGGGAGGGGAGGGGGUGUCGCUUUUAUACGGAGCGGGGCCUCCUCGCCCGCUGCUCAGAGCUCGGGAGCAGCCGGCCCAGCGCGCCGCACGGCGGUGCACCCCGGCGCUCCUCUCUGCGCCCCGACGCCGUCUUUCGGAAGCGCAGCCCGAGGUUGGUCUCUCCACAGCCCGAGGUUGGUCUCUCCGCAGCCCGAGGUCCGUCUUUCUGCAGCCCGAGGUCCGUCUUUUGCUCCCUCGGGCGGAGGGACCCCAAUUCCCGCUCCCUUGGGGGUCCCGGAUUCCUGCUCCCUCGAGGGGAGGGGCCCCGAUUCCUGCUCCCGGGGGGGGGGGGAAGAGGCCGUUAUUCCUGCUCCCUGGGGGGGGGUGCCCCGAUUCCUGCUCCCUCGGGAGGAGGACCCCGAUUCCUGCUCCCUCAGGGGGAGGGGCCCGAUUCCUGCUCUCUCGGGGGGGAGGAAUCGGGGCACCCCCCCCCCAGGGAGCAGGAAUAACGGCCUCUUCCCCCCCCCCCCCGGGAGCAGGAAUCGGGGCCCCUCCCCUCGAGGGAGCAGGAAUCCGGGACCCCCAAGGGAGCGGGAAUUGGGGUCCCUCCGCCCGAGGGAGCAAAAGACGGACCUCGGGCUGCAGAAAGACGGACCUCGGGCUGCGGAGAGACCAACCUCGGGCUGUGGAGAGACCAACCUCGGGCUGCGCUUCCGAAAGACGGCGUCGGGGCGCAGAGAGGAGCGCCGGGGUGCACCGCCGUGCGGCGCGCUGGGCCGGCUGCUCCCGAGCUCUGAGCAGCGGGCGAGGAGGCCCCGCUCCGUAUAAAAGCGACACCCCCUCCCCUCCCCGCUGCGCACGCGGUGACACGCAGAUCUGAUGAGGUCACCGCGUCCUCAUUGGCCCGGCCCUCGCCCGCCAGAAAAGGCGGGAAGUCGCUGGCUCUGCGCCGCGCGGACGGCAUGGGGCGCCACCCACGAGCGUGCAGGAGCUCGCGCGCCCCCACGUGCACCCCCGACAUGUCGGCCCUCUCGGCUGCACACGCGGCAGCGCCCCGCACAGACGGCCCGGCCGCCGCGCGCUCACUGCCCCCUGCACCCCGUCCUGCCCCCGGGGACCGACCGCUCCUCGGCCUCCUGUCCCUGCCGCUUGGCGUCCGCUGGACACCUGCUGCAGGGGCCACCCUGGGACCAGUAGGUGGCCGUGUGCGCCGGCCGCGUUCCCUCGGCACCGUGUUCUCAGGAGGGCUGUUCUCCGAGGGAGCGGGAACCCGGGUCCCCCCCCCCAAGGGAGCAGGAAUUGGGGUCCCUCCCCCCGAGCGAUCAGGAAGCGGGGUCCCUCCACCAAGGGACAGGAGUCGGGGUCCCUCCCCCCGAGGGAUCAGGAAUCGGGGUCCCUCCACCAAGGGAUCAGGAGUUGGGGUCCCUCCCCCAAGGGACAGGAGUCAGGGUCCCUCCCCCAAGGGACAGGAGUCGGGGUCCCUCCGCCAAGGGACAGGAGUCGGGGUCCGUCCCCCGAGGGAGCAGGAAUAGGCCCCCCGAGGCAGCGGGGAUCGCCCUGCACGUCCAUCGAGGGGCACUCGCCCCCACUGCGCGCCCCCCCUGGCGGCGAGGGGCACCUGCGGGCGGACGUGCGCGGCGGCGGCGGCGGCGAAGGUCGCGCGGGGCCCCUCCGGGCGCGGGAUGGGGGGCCCGACGGCAGGGCGACACCCGCUGUCUGGGCAGCGCGCUGACCCGGCCCCCUGCUCCCGCCGCGCCGCCCCACUGGCCCUGGCCCGCGCCUGCUCCUCCCGGUGCGGCCUCGCGAGCCCCCGCGCCGGCUGUGCCGCGGCACCUGGCACCUGGGGGUCACUGUCCCCCGUGUGUAGGGAGGGGCAGGGCG